CGAUUACGGCUCAGUAACACGUAGCUAACCUACCCUUAGGACGUGGAUACCCCCGAGAAAUUGGGGUUAAUCCGCGAUAGAUGUAAUGUCCUGGAAUGGUAUUACGUCUAAAGGUAUUUCAUACAUGUUUGAAAUAUGCCUAAGGACGGGGCUGCGGCCGAUCAGGCUGUUGGUGAGGUAAUGGCUCACCAAACCUUUGACCGGUACGGGCCAUGAGAGUGGUAGCCCGGAGAUGGACACUGAGACAAGGGUCCAGGCCCUAAGGGGCGCAGCAACCGCGAAACCUCCACAAUGCACUCACGUGCGAUGGGGCUAUCUCGAGUGCCACCUGAUGAAGGUGGCUUUUCCUUGGUCUUCAAAGCCUUGGGAAUAAGAGGGGGGCAAGACUGGUGUCAGCCGCCGCGGUAACACCAGCCCCUCGAGUGGUGGGGAUGAUUAUUGGGCCUAAAGCGUCCGUAGCCUGCCGUAUAAGUUUCCCGUUAAAUCCAGCGUCUUAAGCGCUGGACCGCGGGAAAUACUGUACGGCUAGAGAGUGGGAGAGGUCAGCGGUAUUCUGGGGGUAGGGGCGAAAUCCUUUGAUCCCCGGAGGACCACCAGUGGCGAAGGCUG
This 609-nucleotide ribosomal RNA is filed under the name uncultured crenarchaeote. Its description in RNAcentral is "bacterial SSU rRNA". It matches the Rfam family "Archaeal small subunit ribosomal RNA", at positions 80 to 675 of the family's 1478-position model. The record is from RNAcentral. Lineage: Archaea; Thermoproteati; Thermoproteota.